CAGAAAGUAGUUUAAUAAAUAAUAAUUUUGGAUAUUAUAGUUGAUUCAAAAUCCUUUCUGA
RNAcentral lists this transfer RNA (61 nucleotides) under Longipodacrangonyx sp. 1 MDMBR-2012. RNAcentral's name for it is "transfer RNA Proline". Lineage: Eukaryota; Metazoa; Arthropoda; Malacostraca; Amphipoda; Metacrangonyctidae. The record is from RNAcentral.